AUACGGAGGGGGCAAGCGUUGUUCGGAAUUACGGGGCGUAAAGGGCGCGCAGGCGGUUUUGUUAGUCAGGCGUGAAAUCCCCGGGCUUAACCUGGGAAUUGCGUUUGAUACUGCAAAACUAGAGUUCGGGAGAGGGUAGUGGAAUUCCCAGUGUAGAGGUGAAAUUCGUAGAUAUUGGGAAGAACACCAGUGGCGAAGGCGGCUACCUGGACCGAUACUGACGCUGAGGCGCGAAAGCGUGGGGAGCAAACAGGAUUAGAUACCCUAGUAGUCC
This 274-nucleotide ribosomal RNA is filed under the name uncultured bacterium. RNAcentral describes it as "partial 16S ribosomal RNA". It matches the Rfam family "Bacterial small subunit ribosomal RNA", at positions 523 to 796 of the family's 1533-position model. The record is from RNAcentral.